UCCGUAGACGGUUUACAUUUUUACAAAACAUUUGUAAUUUAUUACAUUUUUUGUUUUUUACGUAUUCUAGAGUUUAGUGGAAAGUUUUGGUAUUCUCGAUGGAGGGGUGAAAUCCGUAGAUAUCGAUGGGGACCACCGUUAGCGAAAGCAAAAACUUAUUCUAAACUGACGUUGAGGGACGAAAGCGUGGGGAGCAAACG
RNAcentral lists this ribosomal RNA (200 nucleotides) under uncultured bacterium. RNAcentral describes it as "partial 16S ribosomal RNA". It matches the Rfam family "Bacterial small subunit ribosomal RNA", at positions 568 to 774 of the family's 1533-position model. The record is from RNAcentral.